RNAcentral lists this long non-coding RNA (2226 nucleotides) under Homo sapiens (human). Its description in RNAcentral is "HSALNT0355065". Lineage: Eukaryota; Metazoa; Chordata; Mammalia; Primates; Hominidae. The record is from RNAcentral.
ACACGCGGCGCCCCAUUAAAGCGGCCGUCCCGGGCGCGCGCCUCAUUCGAGGCGACGGGCUCCGGGCCCUGAUAGAUGGGGUGCGGGGACGGAGACAAAUGACGGCCUUUGGGCUCGGAAUACCCACCUUUCUGGUAAUGCAGCCCAGCGGGUCCCAGCCUCGUUUUCCAGCCCUCACUCAAAAUGGAGUCGCUCUGGUUCGAACGCCUCUGACAAGUGUGUACCUACGUGUCAGGCCCAUCCUUCCUGCAGGCCUUUGUCUUGGUGUCACCCUGCCUGAGCUGGCCCCAACCACAGUAGCAACAGUGAUGCUGAUGUGUGACUGCUGCCAGGAGCCUGCUCACAUGACCGUGUGGAGAAAGUUCUUUCCCUGAGGACCAUCUGGAGUGGACGCGUGCACUACCCCUCUCUGAAUACACCCUCCCCACGAGGCCCUCUGGAGCAUCCUGUAGAGCCAGCCCCUACCCAGAGACCCUGAGCCCAGAGAAUGCGCUGGGUGGUGAGCCUGGGGACGAAUGCAGAGCCCUAGGUCUCCUCUCCAGAAAGACCGGAUUUUGCCAUGUUGGCCAGGCUGGUCUUGAACUCCUGACCUCAAGUGAUCCACCUGCCUCGGCCUCCCAAAGUGCAGGGAUUACAGGUGUGAGCCACUGCACCCGGCCUCAGGCAGGUAUUUUUACCAGCCGAAUACUCUUGCACUGUGCACUCUUCGUGUUCAUCAUCAGUCCCCCGGAUGGGUGUUUAAGGCAUUUCCAAAGCUCUGUUAUUAAAAACACGAUGCAAUGAGUUUCUUUCAGCAUUUCCCCUUGUUGCCGUGUGAAUGCGUCCGUGGUAUAACUUCCUAAAAGUGGAAUCGCUUGGUCAAAGGGUGGGUGCAUUUAGCAACCUGAUGGCUUUCCAGGAGACAAGUGCUGCCUCCCGGCCACGAGCUUUUAAGAAGAACUGUUGAUGGAACCCGAGCUGGAGUCCCAGGGACCGGGGCGAGUUCUCCAUCCCAGGGGAUUUUCAGAUGGGACACUGGGGAGAAGCUGCCCUGCCCAUCUGAACUCUAUGAUCCCAGUACUAACACUGGUAGCUGUGCCAUCCCCAGUAUAGAGACAGCACCGUGCUCUUGGGAGGGUGAGUCAUUGGCCCCCGGCUGCCCAGCAAACAGCAUGUGACCCCCACUUCCCAGCCAGGCCUGGGUCCUCUUGGGUUCCGAGAUCCCAGCCCCCUGCUGUGAUCCUCAGGGAUCCCUUCUUGACUGGCGUCUCCCAGAGGCACUUGUGUUCCCCCAGAGCUUGCUCUCCACAAGUUUCUGAAACUCAUUGCUGCUGCUGGAGACUCCAUUGGGUCUAGCUCUUGGCUGCUCUGGUUGUGCAAUCACCCGUCUGCACGUUUUUCUUUCGUGCAGAGAAAGAUCUGCCUCAUCUUUCUGCAAGAGCAUCUUGGUAUUUAUACACUUUUUGUCUUGAUUUUACAAUUUUUGGCUGGGCACGGUGGCUUACGCCUGUAAUCCCAACACUUUGGGAGGCUGAGGAGGGUGGAUCAUGAGGUCAGGAGUUCAAGACCAGCCUGGCCAAGAUGGUGAAACCCUGUCUCUACUAAAAAUACAAAAAUUAGCCUGGCGUGGUGGCGGGCACCUGUAAUCCCAGCUACUCGGGAGGCUGAGACAGAGAAUUGCUUGAACCCGGGAGGCGGAGGUUGCAGUGAGCUGAGAUCACACCACUGUGCUCCAGCCUGGGCAACAGAGUGAGACUCCGGCUCGAGAAAAAAAAAUUAUUUCUUGGUUGGGCAAUGUCACUGUUGUUUCUGAAAAAAUACACCCUUAUUGUACCAUAAACUGAUGAGUUGAAGCAACACUGGAAACUACAAGAAAGAAGGUAAAAGUCAUCAACACGCUUCACCUGGAGAUGACUCUGGUUAAUGUCUAGGUGGACGUCCUUCUGCAGAGUGUACACAUUUCGCCCCAUCCCCUCUAAUGACAAUGAAAACCUCUCUGUUUCUUGCUGAAGGUGGGGUGUGUAAGUCACUGGAGUGGAUCUGAGGGCCUGAAAAUCUCCAUCCCCUCCCCUCCCACAGCGUAAACAAACAGCCUCCCAGCACCCCUCCCGCACUGCCAGGUUGGAAGCCACCGCUCCAGCUCCAGGGAGCAAGGCUUGGUGCCCACUAAGCAGGUGCUAAUGAUUCCCCCACUCUCAAAGAAAGUUCCAUUCACUCCCCAAGGUUCCACUCCCCUACCUUCCAGAC